AGAACGAACGCUGGCGGCGUGGAUUAGGCAUGCAAGUCGCGCGAGAAAGGGGGGCAACCCCUGAGUACAGCGGCGAACUGGUGAGUAACAGGUGGGCAACGUGCCCUCGAGUCGGGGAUAACUUCCAGAAAUGGAGGCUAAUACCGGAUGUGAUCUCGGUUUCGCAUGGGACUGAGGUUAAAGCAGCAGUGCGCUCGAGGAUCGGCCCGCCCCCGAUUAGCUAGUUGGUGGGGUAACGGCCUACCAAGGCUGCGAUCGGUAGCUGGUCUGAGAGGAUGGUCAGCCACACCGGGACUGAGAUACGGCCCGGACUCCUACGGGAGGCAGCAGUCUAGAGGCUUCCGCAAUGGACGAAAGUCUGACGGAGCGACGCCGCGUGUGGGAUGAAGGUCUUGCGAUUGUAAACCACUGUCAACGGGGAAGAAGGCCCGAAUGGCGAAUUCGGGAGAGACGGUACCCGUGGAGGAAGCCCCGGCUAACUACGUGCCAGCAGCCGCGGUAAUACGUAGGGGGCGAGCGUUGUUCGGAUUCACUGGGCGUAAAGGGUGCGUAGGCGGUUUGGCAAGUCCUGCGUGAAACCUGCUUGCUUAACAAGCAGCUGUCGCCGGAAACUGCCAGGCUAGAGGACGAGAGAGGAGAGCGGAAUUCCAGGUGUAGCGGUGGAAUGCGCAGAUAUCUGGAAGAACACCGGUGGCGAAGGCGGCUCUCUGGAUCGUUUCUGACGCUGAGGCACGAAAGCCAGGGGAGCGAACGGGAUUAGAUACCCCGGUAGUCCUGGCUGUAAACGGUGAGCGCUAGGUGUGGGGGGUAUCGACCCCCCCUGUGCCGCAGCUAACGCAAUAAGCGCUCCGCCUGGGGAGUACGGCCGCAAGGUUGAAACUCAAAGGAAUUGACGGGGGCCCGCACAAGCGGUGGAGCAUGUGGCUUAAUUCGAUACGCGAGGAACCUUACCUGGGCUUAAACUACUGGGCAAACCUCCGGAGACGGGGGCUCCGCAAGGAAUCCAGCAGAGGUGCUGCAUGGCUGUCGUCAGCUCGUGUCGUGAGAUGUUGGGUUAAGUCCCGCAACGAGCGCAACCCUUGUCGCUAGUUACCAGCGAGUCAAGUCGGGGACUCUAGCGAGACUGCCGGCACAAGCCGGAGGAAGGUGGGGAUGACGUCAAGUCCGCAUGGCCCUUACGUCCAGGGCUGCACACGUGCUACAAUGGUCGGUACAAAGGGUUGCCAAGCCGCGAGGCCUAGCCAAUCCCAAAAAGCCGGCCCCAGUUCGGAUCGGAGUCUGCAAUUCGACUCCGUGAAGCCGGAAUCGCUAGUAAUCGCGCAUCAGCACGGCGCGGUGAAUACGUUCUCGGGCCUUGUACACACCGCCCGUCACACCACGAAAGCUGGCUGAUCCAGAAGUUCGUGAGCCAACCCGCAAGGGAGGCAGCGACCUAAGGAUUGGUCGGUGAUUGGGGUGAAGUCGUAACAAGGUA
This 1474-nucleotide ribosomal RNA is filed under the name metagenome. RNAcentral describes it as "bacterial SSU rRNA". It matches the Rfam family "Bacterial small subunit ribosomal RNA". The record is from RNAcentral.